This 500-nucleotide ribosomal RNA is filed under the name uncultured bacterium. RNAcentral describes it as "partial 16S ribosomal RNA". It matches the Rfam family "Bacterial small subunit ribosomal RNA", at positions 30 to 523 of the family's 1533-position model. The record is from RNAcentral.
AUUGAACGCUGGCGGCAUGCCUUACACAUGCAAGUCGAACGGCAGCACGGGAGCAAUCCUGGUGGCGAGUGGCGAACGGGUGAGUAAUAUAUCGGAACGAGCCCAGUCGUGGGGGAUAACGCAGCGAAAGCUGUGCUAAUACCGCAUACGAUCCAUGGAUGAAAGCGGGGGAUCGCAAGACCUCGCGCGAUUGGAGCGGCCGAUAUCAGAUUAGCUAGUUGGUGGGGUAAAAGCCCACCAAGGCGACGAUCUGUAGCUGGUCUGAGAGGACGACCAGCCACACUGGAACUGAGACACGGUCCAGACUCCUACGGGAGGCAGCAGUGGGGAAUUUUGGACAAUGGGCGCAAGCCUGAUCCAGCAAUGCCGCGUGCAGGAUGAAGGCCUUCGGGUUGUAAACUGCUUUUGUACGGAACGAAACGGCGAGCUCUAAUAAAGUUUGCUAAUGACGGUACCGUAAGAAUAAGCACCGGCUAACUACGUGCCAGCCGCCGCGGUAA